This is a long non-coding RNA of Homo sapiens (human), 626 nucleotides long. NCBI's taxonomy places the organism in Eukaryota, Metazoa, Chordata, Mammalia, Primates, Hominidae. The record is from Ensembl.
CUUCUCUUAAGCCGGAGCUCGGCUUCAGGAGUACUUUUCAAAAUAUCAUGUAUUUUGCUAACUCUAUAUAACUCCAUGUGUCAUUUCAUCCAGAAAACUUGUUUCUAAUGCUUUUUUCUCUGGACUCUAAGCUGGUUGAUGCCACCAGGCCUUGGGAAAAAGCCUGCCUUCUGAUAGGAUUGCUAUUGAGUAGCAAAAAUUCUUGGAUUCUGAUAACAUCUUUCAUGCAGAAACUCAAAGCAUCUCCCAAAUUAUAAGCCCAUUCUUUUACACUGUUCUACACUCUCACACUCUAGGAACAACUCAUUUCAAUCUUGGGACAUUGACCAGAAUUCAGGGAAACUAGCAUGAUCCUUCCAGUCUGACGUUUCAUUCCAUCUACUGUCCAAAGCUGUGUCUACAAGGCAUCACCUAUGAGACAAUAAAACAAACCCUCUGAAAUCAGGAAAUUUGCCAGAAGAUGGCGAGCUGGGAAGAAAUAAAACCAGGAUUUGAGCCAGAACUUGGCUUCAAGCUGACCUCACCCCACCUGCAAGUCUUAAUACACUUGGACAUGCCAUGAAAUGACAAGAAAUAUUCAGAUUUUAGAUAUGUAAAAAUAUUAAAACUAUGCCUCUUAGAAUCUG